GACGAAGGGGGCUAGCGUUGUUCGGAAUUACUGGGCGUAAAGCGCGUGUAGGCGGUUGUCCAAGUUGGAUGUGAAAGCCUUGAGCUUAACUCAAGAAAUGCAUUCAGGACUGGAUGACUAGAGGACCGGAGAGGAUAGUGGAAUUCCCAGUGUAGUGGUGAAAUACGUAGAGAUUGGGAAGAACACCAGUGGCGAAGGCGGCUAUCUGGACGGUUUCUGACGCUAAGACGCGAAAGCGUGGGGAGCAAAAGGG
This 253-nucleotide ribosomal RNA is filed under the name uncultured bacterium. RNAcentral describes it as "partial 16S ribosomal RNA". It matches the Rfam family "Bacterial small subunit ribosomal RNA", at positions 524 to 776 of the family's 1533-position model. The record is from RNAcentral.